Molecule: ribosomal RNA, 253 nt
Filed under: uncultured bacterium
Lineage: Bacteria
Description: partial 16S ribosomal RNA
Rfam family: Bacterial small subunit ribosomal RNA
Source: RNAcentral
UACGUAGGGGGCAAGCGUUAUCCGGAUUUACUGGGUGUAAAGGGAGCGUAGACGGCAUAGCAAGUCUGAAGUGAAAGCCCGUGGCUCAACCGCGGAACUGCUUUGGAAACUGUUAAGCUGGAGUACUGGAGAGGCAAGCGGAAUUCCUAGUGUAGCGGUGAAAUGCGUAGAUAUUAGGAGGAACACCAGUGGCGAAGGCGGCUUGCUGGACAGAGACUGACGUUGAGGCCCGAAAGCGUGGGGAGCAAACAGG